RNAcentral lists this unclassified non-coding RNA (329 nucleotides) under soil metagenome. RNAcentral's name for it is "partial contains 5.8S ribosomal RNA, internal transcribed spacer 2, and large subunit ribosomal RNA". The stretch from base 1 to 120 matches the Rfam family "5.8S ribosomal RNA", at positions 35 to 154 of the family's 154-position model. The record is from RNAcentral.
GAUGAAGAACGUAGUGAAAUGCGACAAGUAAUGUGAAUUGCAGAAUUCAGUGAAUCAUCGAAUCUUUGAACGCACAUUGCGCCCUCUGGUAUUCCGGGGGGCAUGCCUGUUCGAGCGUCAUUAUAACCACUCAAGCUCUCGCUUGGUAUUGGGGUUCGCGGUUCCGCGGCCCCUAAAAUCAGUGGCGGUGCCUGUCGGCUCUACGCGUAGUAAUACUCCUCGCGAUUGAGUCCGGUAGGUCUACUUGCCAGCAACCCCCAAUUUUUACAGGUUGACCUCGGAUCAGGUAGGGAUACCCGCUGAACUUAAGCAUAUCAAUAAGCGGAGGA